UUUGUACAGAAACAAAGACAAGGAAAGGGGAUUUAUUUUCUUGCCUACUACCAGUUUGAUAAAAUGUCUCAAUGAAGAGUAUGAAAGGGGAUUUUUUUUGUACAGAAACAUAGAUUGUGUUUGCAAUUGAAUGAUGAAGAGUAUAAAUGAAUAUAUAAGAAUGCUUGAGAUCAAAGUUUACUUUUAUAUUGAUGGUAGUGUGUUUUACAUUGAAAAAAGAAUUAGCAACUACAGGGAGAUAUAAAAUAUGAUUUGAUAUUUAAUUCACAUUGCCCCGAUGGUGUUGUAGGGAAUAGUGUAAUAGAGACUCUAUGGUGUAUGCAGCUUUCCUGAGUAAUAAUUCAGCAUUUAUUUAUUUAUUUGGUGUGCGAACAACGCAAAGAUAGAGAUUUGUAAUGGAAGGAGCACCUGGUCCACCUGAUAUGUCGUUAGCUAGUUAUCAAAAUAAAUUGUGCCAGAUAUUGUUGUGUUAACGAUCCCAAUUGAUAUGUUCACCUGAUUUCUGAUGGUGGUUAUAUUUAUCGGGUACUGAUCAUUACUACCGGCCUCUGUGUUCAUUGGAUUACUCAUAGUUUGGAAUGCAGGGAGUGAAAGGAAAUAAGGGAUGAGAUGGAAUUUUAUCAGCUGAAACUUUUGCUGAUCACUAUAUGAGUUGAGAAUACCUUUUUUGAGGCUACCAAAGGCAUUAUCAGUUGGGGCAAACAUGGUUAGGCUUUGACUUGAGUCAUUGAGCUUUAUGUAAAUUUCGUUAUCCAGCCUGGUGCUCUUUAGCAGCCUAAUCAAUGUAAUGAAGUGACAGGCCUUCUCAAGGAUUGUAGUGAUGUUAGGUGGACUUGAUGGUGCUGGAGGUGGCAUAAUAGACUUAGCAACUGGAGCUUUUGCUGCUGGCAGUGGAGACUGAGCAACUGGAGCUUGUGCUGUUGGCAGUGGAGACUGAGCAAGUGAAGCAUGUGCCAGAGAUUGAGCAAAAACUAUGGGGCAGCAGAGGAAGAUUAGUAGAAGUAGUAAUGACGAGAGAAACAGAAGCUGCUUCGACAUUUUUGUGGACACUCUUAGUAUAUAUGCAGUAUGGGUGAAUUAAAGAAGAGUUGUAUGCGUUGUGGUGUAACAGAAUUGGGUUUUUAUUGAGUGGGGUGAGAUGGGAAGUGAGUAUGAAGUUAGGUAAGAGGCUGUAUCUUAAGGUGGCAAGAGAGCAUUAAUAUUCUAGCUAGACAGAUUGAUGGUGCUGAAGCAGCUAGCUAUUGCUUUUGCGUGAGCUAUUGUGGAUGUGUUCGAAGAUCAUUUGUUCUGUAUAUAGCAGAUAUUUAUUUUGGAACAAUCUUCUGUUUUGGAAAUCCAGUAUUUUUUGUAUAUAAUAUUUAAUUUAGAUGGAUUAUACUUGAUUUGUGUGGAUUUAUAUGAUAUUUGGAAUAUGAUGUUACAAGUUAAAGUUUUUGAA
Molecule: non-coding RNA, 1438 nt
Organism: Camellia sinensis
Lineage: Eukaryota; Viridiplantae; Streptophyta; Magnoliopsida; Ericales; Theaceae
Source: RefSeq, a predicted model, not a curated record